Molecule: ribosomal RNA, 253 nt
Filed under: uncultured bacterium
Lineage: Bacteria
Description: partial 16S ribosomal RNA
Rfam family: Bacterial small subunit ribosomal RNA
Source: RNAcentral
UACGGAGGGUGCAAGCGUUAAUCGGAAUUCCUGGGCGUAAAGCGCACGCAGGCGGUCUGUCAAGUCAGAUGUGAAAUCCCCGGGCUCAACCUGGGAACUGCAUUUGAAACUGGCAAGCUAGAGUCUCGUAGAGGGGGGUAGAAUUCCAGGCGUAGCGGUGAAAUGCGUAGAGAUCUGGAGGAAUACCGGUGGCGAAGGCGGCCCCCUGGAUGAAGACUGACGCUCAGGUGCGAAAGCGUGGGGAGCAAACAGG